Sarcophilus harrisii (Tasmanian devil) is the source of this 3128-nucleotide long non-coding RNA. NCBI's taxonomy places the organism in Eukaryota, Metazoa, Chordata, Mammalia, Dasyuromorphia, Dasyuridae. The record is from Ensembl.
CCCUUAUCAGGAACAGACAGGGCUGAGAAGUACGGCCUCAUUUGGGGGCUCCUUGUUCAGAAAAUUCUCAAUUACAGCUUCUGGGUACUGAACUGUAACUGCACAGUCUCAACAGCUUCCUUGAUUCAAACGCCUCCGAUUACCCACUUUCAAAAUGCACACCAGUCAUUACCCAGCAACCUUGAAUUCCUAACAAGUUUAUGGUCCAAGGAACAUUUAAAAGGUGCAGAAUUUAUACCACAGAAAAUAAAAGUUCCUUCUCAGAAUUUCGGACUUCCUUCUCUUUGGUGAGAUGCGUCCCUGACCGUUCUGUGCCUUGCUGUUUCCAGAACGUGAUCUCCUUUGAGGCUUUUUGGGCAGAUACUGGAAUGAUCUCCAUUCUUUCUCCAGCUCGUUUUACAGAUCAGAAGCAGCUGAAGGUGGAAAUGGAAUCACGGAGGGGUAAGUGUGGACUUGUUGGGAAGAACCUUCCUUACGAUGAGACGCAGACCCGGCUGCCCCAAGAGUGGAGGUUUUCUAGCAGAGGCUGACCUGUCCCAGGGCGUUUCCCAUGAGCUGCAGAGGUCCCAUCUACCCCUCUGGAAUUCCUUCAAGGAGGAAUCAUGGACAGCACUUAGCACAGAGACAACCAUAGACUCGUGGUCCUUGACCCAAUCCCCAAGAGAGAGUGGAAAGGGAAGAGAGCACAAGAGCGAGCCAUGGGGCCUACGCACAUGAGGGGACCGGACACGGAUAACGGCCCGGCACACAGGAAUUCAGAAGUGCUCAAAAGGAUUUGAAAAGGUAGAAGAGACCUCAGUUCUGUGAAAACUCCAACCAAUGCCACCUCCUGCUCCAAGCCUUUCCUGAUACUCUCCCAUUAGUUAGCAAUGCUUGUAUUUUGUCUAUUCAUCUGGACAGAGCUUGUUUCCCCCCAUCAGGAUGUGGGCUUCUGAAGGGUUCUGCUUGUUCCGUCCCCUGCCCCAUACAUCCACAUGUAGUGGGUUUGCUGAAUUACGCUCUUAAAACUCAAGGGUUUCACCAAUGUGGUGUUAUAUAGAGACAAGAUAGCCUGUUUGGGAAUAAAUUCUCAACCUAGUCUAGACGUACAACCCUGACACAAUGGAAAGAGAACUGUGACAUACACAUACUUUGGAAGAUACACAGUUCUUUGUGAGAAUUUUGCGAGAAUUUGGCUAGCAAAUAGCAUUAUUUAAAAAUCAGCCAGUUUUGAGUCACUAGGUAGCAAAGAGUGAACUUUAGUUCUAAUACCUUUAUAUCAGCUUAUUUGUUGUAACUAGUCACCAAGAAAACUUCAUUUUUUUUUUUUUUUUGCUGAGGCAAUUGGAGUUAAGUGACUUGCCCAGGGUCACACAGCCAGGAAGUGUUGGGUCCUCCUGACUUCGGGGCUGGUGCUCUACUCGCUGCGCCACCCAGCCGCUCCAGGAAAACUCUAUUUUGUAGUUAUUUGACAGUGGCUACCACCACCAAGAUAAUAGUUGCAAACACUACUAGGGGCUACAUUAUUUCUGUCCCCUUCUCUCUCCCAUAAGCAAUUUAUGCUAAUGAUAUUAGUCUGUCCAUAAUUAAAUUGUUCCUAUUAUAAAAAUGGAAAUAAGAGUUCUAUAUUUCAGGAGUAAAAAAAAAAAAAAAAAAAGAAAAAGAGAACAUCCCUAUGGGAAGUUGGAAAGGCAGUGGAAAGAUGCCACUGAAACACUGCCUUUGUCCCCGUCAGCCACUGCGCUGCCUAAAAACACAUUAACAAAUGGGCUGUUUAUGGGAGUGAGCUCGGGAGGUAAACGUGCCAACAACUUGUUGGAGCUGCUGUUCUAGGAUAAAGCUGCCACACCAACUUAGGGAGGUGGUCACUUGACAGACAGGUGGAUCUUGGUUUUAGCUCCGAUCUGCGCCUCCCUCCACCGGUCCUUGUCAGCAUCUGGGUCGGAUGCCCUGCCCACAGCCCAGACCAGAAGGGAGCCUGACGUUAGGCAGCAGAGCCAGAGAGAGGCAGGGCCAGGGGCAGGCUGGAGGAGGCUCCUUCCCAUUCACAAGACUUGGCGGGAGGCAACGGAGACUCGCUCCACUGGGCCUUUGGUGUGUGUGUGCUUCCCUCCUAGAAAUCCUCCAGAAUUCAGAAGUGAGGAAGCAAUCUAGAAGGCGCCUCAUGCCAUCAUCAGGUUUGUUCUAGGAGCAAGAGCCUGUCCUAGUGAUAAGCCUCUCGUGGUUCUGACCCCGCACAGGGGCUACUUGGGUCAGCUCCCAUAGUAGGAGUGCCGAGAGAGAGGGCCAAGAGGAGCUGGGAGAGUGGAUCAAAGAAAAAUCUAUGGAACCAUCUUCCCAGCUUCCCUUAGGAGCGGCUCUUCCUUUAGGGGCUCCAAGGGAGCACAGUCCUCCUUUGCUCUGUGCCCCAGAUCUCUAGAGCAGAGCAGAGUUGAGGAGACCAGCUCCCCACCCCCUCGAGGCCUCAGAAACCCUUUUUGUUUCCAUCCUUCAACUGAUGCCCCGAUGGGACAGGAACCAGGAGUGUCUGCAUGGGUGUCACGCAGUGGAGGCAUCCGACAAGCCAGACAGAGGGGGUAGGACUGGGAUGGCUAAAUGACAUCUUUUUCCGCACAAUGUCACCAGCCGUGUAGCAUGCCAUGUGUAAAAAAUGAGUCAACUGCCGUAAGCCCUUACACCACCACCAAGACUUUUGUUCAAUAAAAGAAUAAUCUCGUUACUUACAUUAUAGUGUUCUCUAAGUGAUAUUCAAUUGAAUAGAAGAUGUCUCAAAUAAAUCUGCCAACUGGUGUACAAUAAGGAAACGAUGGUGUGAAAAACAAAAAUAAACAAAAUAUGAAGUGUUUGUUCCUAUCAAGUUAUUAUCAAAAGUCUAUGCUGAUAGUUAUAGAUUCUCAUCUGUCAAAGAAAGAGUAAUAACGCUGCAGAAGAGACUGAAUUUUUUUGGUAACUUGGGAGAAACUAGCAUCCCCCAAAUAACUAUAUAUGCUCUUAGAUACAUUUUUCUAUUUUCAAUUGAAACUUUAAAUGUUUUCCAGAUGGGAAUUGGCUUACUCUGAUAAUACAAUAAAAAUGUGGAUUUCUGAUCUUUAUGGACACUUUCAAUUUUGUACUCUCGGUCAAAAAGUUAUAUCUAUGAAAACAUUCUA